Non-coding RNA from Vicia faba (fava bean), 234 nucleotides. The record is from the annotation of a GenBank genome assembly. NCBI's taxonomy places the organism in Eukaryota, Viridiplantae, Streptophyta, Magnoliopsida, Fabales, Fabaceae.
AUGCAUAAGAGAAGUAGGAGAGCAGAGUUGAACAAAGAGAAAAACAAUGAAGCAAGAGGUUAUCGGAAGAAGACGAAAAGAGUGAAAUACCUGAAAGUUCAUAAUCUUUUCGACACCAUUCUUCAAUUUGAUGAAUCACCGAAGGUACUUCGGGAGGUAAACCUCAAUCUCUAUCCCUUCUUUAUACGUUUCGUUCGUUCUUCAUAUUCGACUUUCCUUCGCAUACGUAAUUAG